RNAcentral lists this unclassified non-coding RNA (313 nucleotides) under Hevea brasiliensis (rubber tree). Lineage: Eukaryota; Viridiplantae; Streptophyta; Magnoliopsida; Malpighiales; Euphorbiaceae. The record is from RNAcentral.
UCAGAGUUUUGUGAUGGUGCACCCGAGUUCAAAUCCAAUGCGGUCCAACAUCAUCCUACUCGAGCUCCUCCGAACAUAAUUUUUAAAGGUCGGAAGUCGUAUAUUAGAACUCCCACUAAAUUGGCUUCUUCAGUUGCCUACCCAUUUGCCUUUAUCAAGCCGUGUGGAUUCCAUGGAGAUGUGACCUUGAAGGACAUAAACCAGCGGAUCCGCACGCCUCCACCAUCAAAAUUGAAGCAUCAACCCGAAGAUCCAUCUCAAUCUUACCCAACUUCAGCGUUCUCUGGAAAGCCUGUAGUAGGUAAAACCAAGA